Molecule: long non-coding RNA, 1145 nt
Filed under: Vulpes vulpes (red fox)
Lineage: Eukaryota; Metazoa; Chordata; Mammalia; Carnivora; Canidae
Description: lncRNA (ENSVVUG00000023966.1)
Source: RNAcentral
AGGGCCCUGUGGGGGUGGGGGGGCAGAACCGUCCGCCCCUUGCGGACACCGCAGCUCAGGGCUUUCUGCAAACUUCGUUCUUUUUCCAAAUUCUAGAUGCGGGGUUUUCCGGCCUGUAGCCCGGGUCCCGGGGGGGAGGUGGACACAGCUGCACCAACCACGGCCUUGGGGCCCCUGCGGGCGGGGCCGGUGUGGACCGGCUUCCCGCCGANGGGUGGGGCGGGGGGCAGGCUGUGGGCCCGGCAGGGCCCUGGCACCCCCGAGGGCCUGGCCACUGAGGUUGUCCCAGUGACGUAGAGCCGGGCCCCCCUGAGGGCAGGCUGGGCGGUGGAGCUUCGGGGACUCGCGGCCACAGGUGCACCCCCAGAAAUGCAGGUGGGUCCAGUUUCGAGGUCUCUGGGGCCCUGAGGGGCCCCGUGGGACAAGCUCCCCUGGGGAUGGGGGCCCCGCGGGUCUCCCCUGGAGGUUCCCUCCUGCACUGGCCCGAGGCCGCCUUCCAGCAGCAGGAGUAGGGGGGCAGCGGCCUGACCCUGUCACCUCGGGGCUGUCCUGCUGGGGACCGGAGCCCGGGGCUGCACACCUCCGGGGCCUCCACUGCGGUAGCAGCCUUAACCCCCUUAACAUUUAAUGCCAUUUCCCAAAUAAAAAGUCCAAGAACUGCCACAAACAGGAAGCGCCCCUUCAGCGGGUGGCGCAGGCCUUGGUGCCUCGCAUCGCAUCCAGGUGUCAGGCAGGUGUCAGGAGGUUCGAUGGGCCCCAGGUGUCAGGUGUCAGGUUGGAGGCUCCAUGGGGCCAGGCAGCAGGGGCCAGAUAGGAGGCUCCAUGGGCCCCGGCGGCAGGUGUCAGGAGGCUCCGUGGGCGCAAGCAGCAGGUGUCAGGUAGGAGGCUCCGUGGGUCUCAGGUGGGCCGAGCUGUAGCACAGAAGCCUCCACCCGCAGCGAGCGAUGAUGCUGUGGGGGGUGGGGUGGCAGCAGCAGGUGGGGGGCACAGGACAAGCGGGGCUGGCACGUGUCGCGGGGGGAAAGCCCUAGGAACAGCGCAGCCCCUCCGCCUGGCACGUCCCUCUUAGGAGUCGUCGUACAGGGGGUUGUUGUAGUUCCCCCAGGAGCCGUAGUCCUGGUCGUCCAAGAGCCGUCCAUACGAGG